Molecule: RNA transcript, 3337 nt
Organism: Panicum hallii
Lineage: Eukaryota; Viridiplantae; Streptophyta; Magnoliopsida; Poales; Poaceae
Gene name: putative G-type lectin S-receptor-like serine/threonine-protein kinase At1g61610
Exons: 13
Source: RefSeq, a predicted model, not a curated record
CUGUCGCUCGGUGGCCCGUCUCUUUCAGUUCCACUUCCACAGGGCGUCUCCCCAAAUUGACUCCCUGUCCCUCACUCCCCAGGCGGCAGGAGCCGGCUAGGAGCGCACGGCAGUCGAGCUCCCAGCCGGUGCCCGGUGAGCCGCAAGGGUACGGCACGCGAGCUCUGGGCUGGGAGCGGCCAGGCCGGCAAUCGGCGCAGGCGAGCAACUCUGUGCAGUUGGGACUGCACAAAGCUGUUUCAAUUUGAUCAACCGGUGGAAAAAGCAUGCCUGCUCACUGGAUGGUUAUAUUACGAGUGCUGGUUCCUAAUUUUUCUCUAACUGAGUUCUCGAUAUCUCCCCUCUCCCGUCAAGGAUCCAGCAUUAUUGCAGAUGCAGGGCAUUGCUUCUUCCGGCUGUCUUGUUGUGCAAUGACACAUCUGGCUAACAUUCAGGAGCUAGAUAUUUGGAUGGUCACUAACCUCAGCUAAUGGCAAAGGACGAUCACUAGAGAUGGCAGUUGCAGAAACGAAAGCAGCAGUAAAACGAUACAAAAAUACAACUUUGGAACCAAAAGAUCUUUCGUUUGAAGAAUUACAGCAAAUGACGAAUGAUUUCUCGCAGAGCCAAGAAAUAAGUAGGGGCGAGCUUGGAGUUGUUUACAAGGGAGUGACUACAAAUGGAGAAUUGAUUUCUGUGAAGAGGCUUUUCGAGCUACUAGGACUUGACGAUGAGCAUAUCAAGAAGGAGUUUCAUAAACUUAGCCUGCUCAAGCAUCCAAACCUUGUUCGAUUCCUUAGCUAUUGCUAUGAAGAUAAUGGAGAUGCAGUUCAUAGCCAACAGAAAAAUAGAGCGCUUUGCUUCGAGUACUUGUAUAGUGACAGCCUCCAAACGUAUAUUUCUGAUAAAUGUCAAGGACUUGACUGGCACACACGCUACAAAAUUAUUCAGGGGAUUUGUGAGGGUUCAUAUUAUCUUUAUGAGAGACAGAAAGAACCUAUUUAUCAUUUGGACCUAAAUCCACGUAAUAUACUUCUGGAUGAGAACAUGACGCCAAAACUUACAUAUUUCGGUUUCUCUAAGAUUUUUGGUAAAGAUUAUUUAACAGACAUCUGGGACAGAGACCCUGAAACACUGUCAGUUUCUUGGUGCGCGCGAAUCAUACCAUUUUAUAAACAACCAAAGAGCUUGCUAUUAUUCCAAUUAUUUGUGUUUAAUGGCAUGCAGUAAAUACUGUCCACCAGAAUACAUACACCGUGGGACUGUCAAAAGAGUUUGAUAUGUUCAGCUUGGGUGCUGUAAUCAUAAUAAUAUUGACAGGACGGGCCGACUACAUCAGAAUUUCUAACAGAUCUUCCCAAGAAUUUAUCGAUUUGACUGUAAAAAACUGGAGCAAAAGGCUGCAACAAACAUUUAGUGGUUCUCCACUAGAACUAUGCUGCCAUCAAUUAAAGAAAUGCAUGGAGGUAGCAUUCAGAUGCGUGGAGGAGGACAGACAUGAAAGGCCUGGUAUAGUCGAUGUAAUCUAUGCUCUGAAUGAGAUUGAUGAUACUAUUGAUUGGAUGGAAGAUGGCCUUUGGGACAAGGACGUCGAGGGCGGCAAAACGGAAGGCAGUCGUGGCAUGCCAUGGUCAGGAACUAGUUGGUUUUGGGGCCUACGAUGGUGGUUGAGCAAAGAGUUGUGGAACUGUCUGUGGGUGAAGAUUCCACUCACAGAAUUGAUGACAUAAAUAUAGAACUCAAGGUCCUGGAGUGCAUAGUUGAUGGAAGGGAGGACCCAAGUAAUCUAAAAUUGCCACUUUUAGAGCUCAUCACAAAGAAAUUCGCUAAUGAGCUGAGAAUCGGUAAUGGUGGGUGCGGAGAGGUGUAUAAGUCUAAACAGGGCGUCUUGCAAAACAAGGUUAUUGCUGUGAAGAAGCUUCACAGCAGCCAUACGAUUGAAGACAAGAUGUUCCAUCAGGAGGUUCAAAGCUUGAUUAUGGUUAAGCACCAAAAUAUGGUACGCUUUCUUGGCUACUGUUUGCAUACAGAAGAAAAGGCAAUGAAAAUGGAAGGAAAAAUUAUUAUGGCGCAGAUACGGGAAAGAUUGCUCUGUUUUGAUUAUAUGAGCAAAGGGAGCCUCGAGAAUCAUCUCACUGGUAAUUUAUACUGUCUUAUUAGUAUCUAUAUAAUCCACUGUUGUGCUUCCUAAUGGUUUAGCCAUUCAUUUAUUUGUUCACCUUCCCUUUUUGCACACCUGUUUAAGUUAAGGUUGAUGAUUUAUAAGUGACUAAUAAAUCAGAAUGGCACAGAGUACUUUGAAGUUUAGCAUGUAUAAACUAAAAAAUGUCUCAUGCUUCCAUCUUAGUAUUAGAACCAUGCUAAGACACGAUCUCGUCCACAAAGGGGCACAUCAUCAAUCAUCCUUUCCAGAACAUCAUAGUUGUGGCUGGAUUUGCAUCCAUUAUCCAAAAGUCAGGUAAAGCUAAUGAUAUUUCUUUUCUAUGAUGUUAGCAUGCUGCUAUCCUUUUUAUUAGUUGCAAAAAAUUGCAAAGACCCAUCUGCAAUUUCGAAGGUCUGUCAAAUGAUCAAUAACUUACCUUUGUCGGUCUACCCCCUACAACUUGUUCUAUAUCAUGAGUUUAACAAAUAAAAGAUCUGUAGGUAUAUGAUUUGCAGACUUAUACAUCUCCUACCAAGUUACAUAUAAAGUUGUGAAGUUCUUCCUCGAUUGGGUUGCUACCUCGGACAAAGCAAUUAGAUUUGCUAUCUCUUAUGUUCUUGGUCAAUAAAGAACUCCUAUUGAAAAGGUUCCCAAGUUAUCCAGUAGGGGCUCUAAAAAAAGUUAUCCAGCAGGGGGAGAUCAAGCACAAAGCAUUGAAGUAGAUAUAAUGUGCAGUAUGGACCAGAUCAAGUAAAUAAGUACAUAUGUGUCACACAAAUGGUGUUUAGGACCUGAAACCUGAUAUGCCUUCUUUUCUGCGUGCAAGUUUCCAUAACGAAUCGGCACUAUAACAUGCUCUUCAGCCGUAAGGCUCCUACGAUUGUAUUUUUGGGUAUAUCCCUUUUAGAGUUUGAGUUUUAAACCUUUUAUCCAUGAUGAAACCUAGAGAGUUUUUCCUCACAGCUUGGUGUUUGGUGGCCUGAGAGUUCAUAAGAUCGUCAUCGGCAGCAGUUUAGUUGCAGAUCUUGAUUUGAUUCAUGCACAACUUGGUGGUGGUUGUAGUAGCUCCAAUGUUUUGUUUGGUCAGUACAACACAAGAGGCAACCACGGCAUGUAUGCUUGUAGUUUUGAAACUUUGUUAAUAUUUAGAAUUUAGAUGAGUGAAAAUGCCUUUGAAUAUGUUAUAGUUUGUUAAUUGUUUUUCAAAAAUUUUUA